RNAcentral lists this ribosomal RNA (274 nucleotides) under uncultured bacterium. Its description in RNAcentral is "partial 16S ribosomal RNA". It matches the Rfam family "Bacterial small subunit ribosomal RNA", at positions 523 to 796 of the family's 1533-position model. The record is from RNAcentral.
AUACGAAGGGGGCUAGCGUUGUUCGGAAUUACUGGGCGUAAAGCGCGCGUAGGCGGACUGAUCAGUUGGGGGUGAAAUCCCAGGGCUUAACCCUGGAACUGCCUCCAAUACUGUCAGUCUUGAGUUCGGGAGAGGUGAGUGGAAUUCCUAGUGUAGAGGUGAAAUUCGUAGAUAUUAGGAAGAACACCAGUGGCGAAGGCGGCUCACUGGCUCGAUACUGACGCUGAGGCGCGAAAGCGUGGGGAGCAAACAGGAUUAGAAACCCCAGUAGUCC